This is a non-coding RNA of Momordica charantia (bitter melon), 1822 nucleotides long. NCBI's taxonomy places the organism in Eukaryota, Viridiplantae, Streptophyta, Magnoliopsida, Cucurbitales, Cucurbitaceae. The record is from RefSeq and is a predicted model, not a curated record.
GCCCGUAAUAAUAGUUGGUUCGAUAUGCAAAUUUUAAAUUCUCUCUCUCUACAUCGUGGAACAAAAGAGAUUUUAAUUUCUGCUUCAGCCGACCCUAUUUUUGAUGUAUUCAUGGUGUUGGGCAACUAAAGUAUGAAAAGAAUGGAACAAAACGAGGAAAAGAGACAAGAAAGAAAGAGAGGGUUGGGUUGUUGAGUUGUGGGGGAAAAAAAAGAAAGAAAAAAGAAAGAAAAAGAAACUGUUUGAACAGAUAAAGUUAUAGUGGGGGGUUGAAAAAGAAGAAGAAGAAGAAGAAGAAGAAGAAGAAGAAGAAGAUCACAUGGGUCGGGCCACAAUGGGUCUCUGUAGUUCACCAUUUGUAGAUUGAAGCAAUGGCCCACCUUAGAAAUGGCAUGUGCAGAAACUGAGCACGUGAAGGAAGCCCACUGGGCCGAUGGAGGGGCGGGCGCCGGAGAUGUCAGCCCCUCGCCGUCUCCCCAUUUUCCUCUCUUUUCUUUUCACCACUUCCUAUAAUUCGCCUUGUCCUGUCCUCAUCAUGCUUCAGUACUUUGAACACUGUUCCGCAGUCUUCAAUCUCUUCUUUCUCUGCGACUCGAAGUGAGUGAUCCUGAUCCUCCAUCUACGCUGUGGACCCCUAUACACUAUACAGUUUGACGUUCGCCAUCAUGAUCCACGUCUCCAUUGAGGCAUUUAAGCAAACACUUGACAUUGGUUUGGCUUUAGAGAGAGAGCUGUACGAUUGGAACUUAUAAUAUCAAAAAGUCAACAUAAUUAUAGUACUAACAUGGACAACUGCAGCUGUAUGAAAUUCUAAAUGACACUCCAAAAAGUUGAAGCUCAAAAGGACCCAUUUCUUAUUGUGGAAUAGACAUUUCAUUGGAUUCCUUUUUAUGGAAAGAACUUCUCUUUGAUUUUCCUUCAAUCAAGUGGUAGAAAACAGGGGACGACAAAGAGAAAGAGAUCAGAAAAGGUGUAAAGAUAAUUUUGACAAUAAUUUUUUCUCAAGUUAGAUUGGCAAAAUGGAAACAGAUUAGCAGUUAGAAGUUUGUAUUUGGAUAGAAAUGUGAAAUUCUUCCUAGCUUCUGGUCAUCCAGGUUUUUUCAGAUUGAAUCAGAAAACAGACGAGUUAUACUCAACACUUGCUUAAGCAUGUCAUCUUUCACAAUGGCUUCCCAUAAAAUAUAAAGAAUGACCAAAGUAAGCAGAUGGGAUAAGAGUGACCACUGUGGCUGAAGCUUUUCGGAAAUAUGGGCUCAUCGACCAUUUUGGGGAGAAACAGGCCUAAAGAACUAUGCCGUAUUUGUAAUUCUACAGUGUUCUGAAAUUAGGCAUGGUGGUGGGAAUAUAGAUUGGGGAGCAGUUAGUAGGUGGCAUAUGAGCUUGUUCAAGGGCCUUGUGGCUUUAGCUGUUCCUUGCUUUCCAAGAUCUCCACAAACUAAAUCUGUUAGAAUUUAUCAGAAGGUUAAUUUGAGAUGGGUCAAAUGUGGUCCAGUUUCUGGUCAGCACAAGAAUUUCCUCUUUGUUUUUCAACAGGAAUGAAGACUGAACUCCUUUGUACUUGUUUGUGGUGAAGGGACCAAGAAGAGCAGAGAGCAUUUUCAAAGUAUGAUUACAUGAUGGUGGUGGAGAAAGAAUCCAUCUCAGCUCCUGCUGAUAUGGGGAUAUCAUUGAUUACCUUACCUAGGGAUGCCAAUGGAGCUGGCCCCCAUGGAUAACCGAAGAGGAGUUCCAAGUGUAUGCUGAUGACUUCGAAAAUCUGGCUUCACCGGUCCUUUAAACUACUUUCGUGCUAUGGACAUGUAAGUAAGCAGUAAUGAUCAUG